RNAcentral lists this ribosomal RNA (873 nucleotides) under marine metagenome. Its description in RNAcentral is "bacterial SSU rRNA". It matches the Rfam family "Bacterial small subunit ribosomal RNA", at positions 586 to 1471 of the family's 1533-position model. The record is from RNAcentral.
AGUUGGUGGUGAAAUCCCAGAGCUUACUCUGGAACUGCCAUCAAAACUUUUCAGCUAGAGUAUGAUAGAGGAAAGCAGAAUUUCUAGUGUAGAGGUGAAAUUCGUAGAUAUUAGAAAGAAUACCAAUUGCGAAGGCAGCUUUCUGGAUCAUUACUGACACUGAGGAACGAAAGCAUGGGUAGCGAAGAGGAUUAGAUACCCUCGUAGUCCAUGCCGUAAACGAUGUGUGUUAGACGUUGGAAAUUUAUUUUCAGUGUCGCAGCGAAAGCGAUAAACACACCGCCUGGGGAGUACGACCGCAAGGUUAAAACUCAAAUGAAUUGACGGGGACCCGCACAAGUAGUGGAGCAUGUGGUUUAAUUCGAAGAUACGCGCAGAACCUUACCAACACUUGACAUGUUCGUCGCGACUUUAAGAGAUUAAAGUUUUCGGUUCGGCCGGACGAAACACAGGUGCUGCAUGGCUGUCGUCAGCUCGUGUCGUGAGAUGUUGGGUUAAGUCCCGCAACGAGCGCAACCCUCACUUUUAGUUGCCAUCAUUUAGUUGGGCACUCUGAAAGAACUGCCAGUGAUAAGCUGGAGGAAGGUGGGGAUGACGUCAAGUCCUCAUGGCCCUUACGUGUUGGGCUACACACGUGCUACAAUGGUAUCUACAACAGGAAGCAAAACCGCGAGGUUAAGCAAAUCCUUAAAAGAUACCUCAGUUCGGAUUGCACUCUGCAACUCGAGUGCAUGAAGCUGGAAUUACUAGUAAUCGUGGAUCAGCGUGCCACGGUGAAUGCGUUCCCGGGUCUUGUACACACCGCCCGUCACACCAUGGGAGUUGGUUCUACCUUAAGGCAAGGUUUCAUACCCUUGACCACGGUAUAGUCAG